UUUGCAACAUAGAUUAAAAGAAAAGCAAUUCAUCACACAAAAUCUUAGAGCAACUACACCAAACAAAAACAAGAUUUGGAGGGAGAGAAAAUUGUGAGUGAGUUAAGGAUUGAACACGGUACCUUAAAAUUACAACCACACACACCCCUUACCAUCUCCAACUACACCAAACGAGGUUAUCGUAACCCACCGCAAACCAAAACGAAGCCUUAAAUGCUUUUAAGCCGCGUGCUUAAGAACUUAAUCGACGAGAGCUAACCAAGAAAUCACUAGCCCUUGACCGCUGAACACUGAACAGCAUUCUUGGCCGUGAAAGGCAGGGAUUUUUAUUUUCGAAGCUCACUGAACACUGCACAACUAGCGGCAUAGGCCACAGCCAUUUCGAUUUAUAACGAGUUCACCCAAGAACUCAACUGGAGGACGCCAAGAACUCAACCGGAGGACGCCGUGUUGCUGACUAUGUAUGUGAAGCCGAUGCGCGCCGGCGGCGCCGCAAAAAUUUGCGAGCUGCAGCCGAUGGUCAACUGCAAAUUCUGUCGACUGAAAAGCUGGUCAGAUAAUUGCCGACAUAUAAAUAUAGUAACAAAAACUUAUUUGAUUGAUUUCUUUCAAAAAAAAAUAUAACUUGUUUGAUGGACAAAUGGCCACAUACCUUUUACUUUUC
Molecule: small RNA, 664 nt
Filed under: Oryza sativa Japonica Group (Japanese rice)
Lineage: Eukaryota; Viridiplantae; Streptophyta; Magnoliopsida; Poales; Poaceae
Description: sRNA Os03g0740900
Source: RNAcentral